RNAcentral lists this long non-coding RNA (457 nucleotides) under Medicago truncatula (barrel medic). Its description in RNAcentral is "long non-coding RNA (MTRU_LNC001416)". The record is from RNAcentral. Lineage: Eukaryota; Viridiplantae; Streptophyta; Magnoliopsida; Fabales; Fabaceae.
UCGUGAUUUAGUUGAAUGAAUGUGUAAAAACUAAAAUGUUUUACACCGUCGGUGCAUAACAAUUAAAUUCUAAAUAAUAAUCUUAACAAAAAAAAUGAACGGCUACAUUCUCCACUCCCCAUUGAAAACAAUGGAAGAGAUUCUAUUCCUAUCCCUUCCCUCCCCUCCAAACUUUCCUUUUCUGAUACCUCUCAACUCAAAUAAAAGUUCCUGAUACAAACUUUCAACCCCUAGUGAAAUAUAACACUCAAUCUUGUAUUAAAACAUUGUUUUCAACAAAACAUUUCUAGUGUUAAAUACACUUAAGCUUUAUUGAAGAGUUUAUAAGAUAUCUCGUCACAAUACCUACUACCCAAGGCUUAUCUGAUUAAUAACACCAGAUUCAUUUCUAAAGUCCAAAAUCUAUUUUGAGGGAGAUUAUUAAAGAAGAUUCAUAGAAACGCCUAGAUGAUGAUCA